CUAAGAAACUUCAUCAUUUGGAAACAGUACUUUGUCAUAGGACUAAUGAUAUAAUUGUGGGUUAUCUUGCUGAUUCAACGUGAAAUGAUUCAUAGCUCUGACUAAAAACAUCAUAAAAGAAAAGCUUUUCCUCAGAGCUCAGAAAAGGUCAAACAGAAGCCACUGGCAAAAAGAAGAACCGAAGGACUCCAGUCAUUUGAAAGCCAGCUGAACGGUCAUCGGGAAAGCAUGCCACUACGCCAUGAGAAUACUCAAGCAGCCCAUGGAGAAGCCUAGAGCGGAUCAUGUGAAGCCUUUUGUCAACAAAUAGCAGAAGGUGAGUGAGUCAUCUUGGAAAGGAUCCUAAGCCCCAUGCAAGCCUUUAGGUGACUGUGGCCCUGGACGACCUCUGGACUAUAACCUCAUGAGAGACCCUGAGACAGAAUCACCCAGCUAACUGCUCCCAAGUUCCUGGCCUAUGGAGACUGGGAAGUCAUACAUGUUUAUCGUUACUUUGACCUGCUAUGAUUACAGUAAUUUGUUGUACAGCAAUAGAUACCUAAGACAAAGUCAACCAGUUAUUGUUCUUUCAAAGCCAUGCUUCCAGUGGUUAUUUUUUUCAUACCAAGCAC
Equus quagga is the source of this 611-nucleotide long non-coding RNA. RefSeq lists it as uncharacterized. The transcript has 3 exons. The record is from RefSeq and is a predicted model, not a curated record. Lineage: Eukaryota; Metazoa; Chordata; Mammalia; Perissodactyla; Equidae.